ACGUGGAUGGUGUAGUGGUUAGCAUCGGGGAUUGUGGAUCCCCUGACCCGGGUUCGAGUCCCGGUCCACGUC
RNAcentral lists this transfer RNA (72 nucleotides) under Candidatus Micrarchaeota archaeon CG1_02_55_41. RNAcentral's name for it is "tRNA-His". It matches the Rfam family "tRNA". From Rfam's summary of the family: Transfer RNA (tRNA) molecules are approximately 80 nucleotides in length. Their secondary structure includes four short double-helical elements and three loops (D, anti-codon, and T loops). The record is from RNAcentral. Lineage: Archaea; Nanobdellati; Microcaldota. RNAcentral also lists the same sequence under 3 other names.